RNAcentral lists this transfer RNA (62 nucleotides) under Nesophrosyne sp. 15 GMB-2012. RNAcentral describes it as "tRNA-Thr". It matches the Rfam family "tRNA". From Rfam's summary of the family: Transfer RNA (tRNA) molecules are approximately 80 nucleotides in length. Their secondary structure includes four short double-helical elements and three loops (D, anti-codon, and T loops). Lineage: Eukaryota; Metazoa; Arthropoda; Insecta; Hemiptera; Cicadellidae. The record is from RNAcentral.
GUUUUAAUAGUUUAAUAAAAAUAUUAGUCUUGUAAACUAAAGUUAGGAAAUCCUUUAAAACU